GUGGGGAAUAUUGGACAAUGGGCGAAAGCCUGAUCCAGCCAUGCCGCGUGUGUGAAGAAGGUCUUCGGAUUGUAAAGCACUUUAAGUUGGGAGGAAGGGCAGUAAGUUAAUACCUUGCUGUUUUGACGUUACCGACAGAAUAAGCACCGGCUAACUUCGUGCCAGCAGCCGCGGUAAUACGAAGGGUGCAAGCGUUAAUCGGAAUUACUGGGCGUAAAGCGCGCGUAGGUGGUUUUGUAAGUUGGAGGUGAAAUCCCCGGGCUCAACCUGGGAACUGCCUCCAAAACUGCAUGAAUAGAGGACGGUAGAGGGUAGUGGAAUUUCCUGUGUAGCGGUGAAAUGCGUAGAUAUAGGAAGGAACACCAGUGGCGAAGGCGACCACCUGGACUGAUACUGACACUGAGGUGCGAAAGCGUGGGGAGCAAACAGGAUUAGAUACCCGAGUAGUCC
RNAcentral lists this ribosomal RNA (450 nucleotides) under uncultured bacterium. RNAcentral describes it as "partial 16S ribosomal RNA". It matches the Rfam family "Bacterial small subunit ribosomal RNA", at positions 354 to 796 of the family's 1533-position model. The record is from RNAcentral.